RNAcentral lists this transfer RNA (61 nucleotides) under Siboglinum ekmani. RNAcentral's name for it is "tRNA-Trp". Lineage: Eukaryota; Metazoa; Annelida; Polychaeta; Sabellida; Siboglinidae. The record is from RNAcentral.
AUGAUUUUAAGUUAAAUAAACUAAAAACUUUCAAAGUUUUAAUUGAUAUAGUCAAAUCAUA